GGCUGGAUAGCUUAGUCAGUAGAUCUUGAGACUCUUAAUCCCAGGGUUGUGGGUUCGAGUGCCACGUUGGGUG
Non-coding RNA from Podarcis lilfordi (Lilford's wall lizard), 73 nucleotides. Lineage: Eukaryota; Metazoa; Chordata; Lepidosauria; Squamata; Lacertidae. The record is from the annotation of a GenBank genome assembly.